UACAGAGGGUGCAAGCGUUAAUCGGAGUUACUGGGCGUAAAGGGCGCGUAGGCGGGUUAUUAAGUGAGAUGUGAAAUCCCUGGGCUUAACCUAGGAACUGCAUCUCAUACUGAAGACCUAGAGUAUUGUAGAGGGUAGUGGAAUUUCCGGUGUAGCGGUGAAAUGCGUAGAGAUCGGAAGGAACACCAGUGGCGAAGGCGGCUACCUGGACAAAUACUGACGCUGAGGCGCGAAAGCGUGGGGAGCAAACAGG
Molecule: ribosomal RNA, 253 nt
Filed under: uncultured bacterium
Lineage: Bacteria
Description: partial 16S ribosomal RNA
Rfam family: Bacterial small subunit ribosomal RNA
Source: RNAcentral